GCCUCUGCCCCGGCAGCGAUGACUCUACAGCCCAUGAUUUCCGCAGCCCACGAUUGGCUGGGGCACAGCGAUAAGAAUUCAACCUAAUGGGCACCUCACCUCCCACCUGCUUGGUACGCAGAGCAGAGAAUGGGGAGUCCCAUACCCUCCCUUUCCGGCUUCUUUAUAUUGUCUCCCUAAAAAUCUCCGAUUGGACACAGGU
RNAcentral lists this long non-coding RNA (202 nucleotides) under Homo sapiens (human). Its description in RNAcentral is "HSALNT0185482". Lineage: Eukaryota; Metazoa; Chordata; Mammalia; Primates; Hominidae. The record is from RNAcentral.